Molecule: ribosomal RNA, 495 nt
Filed under: uncultured bacterium
Lineage: Bacteria
Description: partial 16S ribosomal RNA
Rfam family: Bacterial small subunit ribosomal RNA
Source: RNAcentral
GAUGAACGCUGGCGGCGUGCCUAAUACAUGCAAGUCGAACGCUGAAGGAGGAGCUUGCUCUUCUGGAUGAGUUGCGAACGGGUGAGUAACGCGUAGGUAACCUGCCUGGUAGCGGGGGAUAACUAUUGGAAACGAUAGCUAAUACCGCAUGACAACAGUUAUUGCAUGAUAACUGUUUAAAAGUGGCAACUGCUCCACUACCAGAUGGACCUGCGUUGUAUUAGCUAGUUGGUGAGGUAACGGCUCACCAAGGCGACGAUACAUAGCCGACCUGAGAGGGUGAUCGGCCAAACUGGGACUGAGACACGGCCCAGACUCCUACGGGAGGCAGCAGUAGGGAAUCUUCGGCAAUGGACGGAAGUCUGACCGAGCAACGCCGCGUGAGUGAAGAAGGUUUUCGGAUCGUAAAGCUCUGUUGUAAGAGAAGAACGAGCGUGAGAGUGGAAAGUUCACACUGUGACGGUAACUGAACAGAAAGGGACGGCUAACUACGUG